RNAcentral lists this ribosomal RNA (407 nucleotides) under uncultured bacterium. RNAcentral describes it as "partial 16S ribosomal RNA". It matches the Rfam family "Bacterial small subunit ribosomal RNA", at positions 30 to 526 of the family's 1533-position model. The record is from RNAcentral.
AUUGAACGCUGGCGGCAGGCCUAACACAUGCAAGUCGAGCGGAGCGGCGGACGGGUGAGUAAUGCCUAGGAAUCUGCCUGGUGGUGGGGGAUAACGUCCGGAAACGGGCGCUAAUACCGCAUACUAUCAGAUGAGCCUAAGUCGGAUUAGCUAGUUGGUGGGGUAAAGGCCUACCAAGGCGACGAUCCGUAACUGGUCUGGGAGGAUGAUCAGCCACACUGGGACUGAGACACGGGCCAGACUCCUACGGGAGGCAGCAGUUGGGAAUUUUGGGCAAUGGGGGGAAGCCUGAAGCAGCCAUGGCGGGUGGAUGAAGAAGGCCUUCGGGUUGUAAAGGACUUUUAGUUGGGAGGCGUUACCAACAGAAUAAGCACCGGCUAACUCCGUGCCAGCAGCCGCGGUAAUUC